UACAUAGGUCGCUAGCGUUGUUCGGAUUUACUGGGCGUAAAGGGCACGUAGGCGGCCAGGCGUGUCGAGUGUGAAAUCUCCGGGCUCAACCCGGAAAGUGCGCUCGAGACUGCCUGGCCGGAGUACGGGAGGGGGAAGGGGAAUAUAGGGUGUAGCGGUGAAAUGCGUUGAUACCCUAUAGAACACCGGAGGCGAAGGCGCCUUCCUGGAACGUAACUGACGCUAAGGUGCGAAAGUCGGGGGAGCAAAC
RNAcentral lists this ribosomal RNA (250 nucleotides) under uncultured prokaryote. RNAcentral's name for it is "partial 16S ribosomal RNA". It matches the Rfam family "Bacterial small subunit ribosomal RNA", at positions 524 to 773 of the family's 1533-position model. The record is from RNAcentral.